RNAcentral lists this ribosomal RNA (301 nucleotides) under uncultured bacterium. RNAcentral's name for it is "partial 16S ribosomal RNA". It matches the Rfam family "Bacterial small subunit ribosomal RNA", at positions 509 to 808 of the family's 1533-position model. The record is from RNAcentral.
CAGUAGCCGCGGGAAUACGUAGGUCCCGAGCGUUGUCCGGAUUUAUUGGGCGUAAAGCGAGCGCAGGCGGUUAGAUAAGUCUGAAGUUAAAGGCUGUGGCUUAACCAUAGUACGCUUUGGAAACUGUUUAACUUGAGUGCAAGAGGGGAGAGUGGAAUUCCAUGUGUAGCGGUGAAAUGCGUAGAUAUAUGGAGGAACACCGGUGGCGAAAGCGGCUCUCUGGCUUGUAACUGACGCUGAGGCUCGAAAGCGUGGGGAGCAAACAGGAUUAGAUACCCCAGUAGUCCCUGUCUCUUAUACA